UACGUAGGGUGCGAGCGUUGUCCGGAAUUAUUGGGCGUAAAGAGCUCGUAGGCGGCUUGUUGCGUCAGCUGUGAAAACCCGCAGCUCAACUGUGGGCUUGCAGCUGAUACGGGCAGGCUUGAGUUCGGUAGGGGAGACUGGAAUUCCUGGUGUAGCGGUGAAAUGCGCAGAUAUCAGGAAGAACACCCGUGGCGAAGGCGGUUCUCUGGGACGGUACUGACGCUGAGACGCGAAAGCGUGGGGAGCGAACAGG
RNAcentral lists this ribosomal RNA (253 nucleotides) under uncultured bacterium. RNAcentral's name for it is "partial 16S ribosomal RNA". It matches the Rfam family "Bacterial small subunit ribosomal RNA", at positions 524 to 776 of the family's 1533-position model. The record is from RNAcentral.